This 313-nucleotide ribosomal RNA is filed under the name uncultured Pseudoperonospora. RNAcentral's name for it is "partial large subunit ribosomal RNA". It matches the Rfam family "Eukaryotic large subunit ribosomal RNA", at positions 40 to 350 of the family's 3401-position model. Lineage: Eukaryota; Oomycota; Peronosporomycetes; Peronosporales; Peronosporaceae. The record is from RNAcentral.
AUAUUACUAAGCGGAGGAAAGGAUAUCAACGAAGAUUGCCUCAGUAGCGGCGAGUGAAGCGGCAAAAGCUCAAGUUUAGAAUCUGUAGCCUUCUUGGCUACCGAAUUGUAAUCUAAAGGGGCUAACAAAAGGGGAAGUGGAAGCAUAAGUUCCUUGGAACAGGACGUCACAGAGGGUGAAAACCCCGUAUGCAGCCUUCACUGAACCGAAUGUUGACCUUCAAAGAGUCGGGUUGUUUGGGAUUGCAGCCCUAAAUGGGAGAUAAACUUCUUCUAAGGCUAAAUAUUUAUGGGAGACCGAUAGCGCACAAGUA